GACGAACGCUGGCGGCGUGCUUAACACAUGCAAGUCGAACGGAAAGGCCCUGCUUUUGUGGGGUGCUCGAGUGGCGAACGGGUGAGUAACACGUGAGUAACCUGCCCUUGACUUUGGGAUAACUUCAGGAAACUGGGGCUAAUACCGGAUAGGAGCUCCUGCUGCAUGGUGGGGGUUGGAAAGUUUCGGCGGUUGGGGACGGACUCGCGGCUUAUCAGCUUGUUGGUGGGGUAGUGGCUUACCGAGGCUUUGACGGGUAGCCGGCCUGAGAGGGUGACCGGCCACAUUGGGACUGAGAGACGGCCCAGACUCCUACGGGAGGCAGCAGUGGGGAAUAUUGCACAAUGGGCGGAAGCCUGAUGCAGCAACGCCGCGUGCGGGAUGACGGCCUUCGGGUUGUAAACCGCUUUCGCCUGUGACGAAGCGUGAGUGACGGUAAUGGGUAAAGAAGCACCGGCUAACUACGUG
This 468-nucleotide ribosomal RNA is filed under the name uncultured bacterium. RNAcentral's name for it is "partial 16S ribosomal RNA". It matches the Rfam family "Bacterial small subunit ribosomal RNA", at positions 28 to 507 of the family's 1533-position model. The record is from RNAcentral.